RNAcentral lists this long non-coding RNA (615 nucleotides) under Zonotrichia albicollis (white-throated sparrow). Its description in RNAcentral is "lncRNA (ENSZALG00000011248.1)". Lineage: Eukaryota; Metazoa; Chordata; Aves; Passeriformes; Passerellidae. The record is from RNAcentral.
UCUCUAUUUGUUUUCUAAUUUAGGAUGAGGCAGUGCUGUCGUUCCUGGCUGAAGUUUGUGAUCCUUGGGUGUUUAUGGCACAGAAACACCCAAAUUCCAAGCCCUGCUUUUUGCCUCAGUUGCAGAACUGCUCCAGUUAAUCCAUUUUGCUCACACUGAGUUUUGCCAUCACACUGAAAUGCUGCUGGAAGAAAAGAAGAUGAUCAACAGCAAAUCUCUCCUGCUGCAAUCCAGUCCUGUCCACUCUGCCUGGCAGAAAGGUCAGAGCUGCAGGAUGAGCCUGUUUCCAGUGGCAUUGAGGGACUUGCAUCGUUGGUCCUGCACCUCAAGAGAAAAUGGAACAGAAAUGGGAGAUCUGGCUGUAGAUUCAGCCCUUGACCUUUCAGGGCUGGCUGGAAAUGAGCAGUGCCAGAUUUGCCUGCCGUGAAUGUUUUGACAACAAUUUUACUGAUGAGAGGACCAAGUUGUUGCUGUGCUGAAAACCAACCUGCUCUGUGCAAAAAAAAACAAAACAAAGAGCUUGCUUCAAAAAUAGUUGUAUUUGUGCUGCCCAAGGUGGGUGCAUGAAGGAGAUCCUUUGAAUAAAUCCCUGCUUUAUUAUGGAACUCUGCUCCA